CCGCCAAGCUCGUUUCGGAAAAAGUUGGGGUUAAAUGUCCCCGGCAACCGAGCCGCAACCCUNUGAUCUAAGGUUGCCCAUCAAUUUUAGUUGGGGCACUCNAAGGUGACUGCCGGUGACAAAACCGGAGGAAGGUGGGGGAUGACGUCAAAUCAUCAGGCCCCUUAUGACCUGGGCACACACGUGCUACAAUGGACGAACAAACGGUUGCCAACUCGCGAGAGGGAGCUAAUCCGAUAAAGUCGUUCUCAGUUCGGAUUGUAGGCUGCAACUGCCUACAUGAAGCCGGAAUCGCUAGUAAUCGCGGAUCAGCAUGCCGCGGUGAAUACGUUCCCGGGCCUUGUACACACCGCCCGUCACUCCACGAGAGUUUGUAACACCCGAAGUCGGUGGGGUAACCUUUUGGAGCCAGCCGCCGAAGGUGGGAUAGAUGAUUGGGGUGAAGUCGUAACCAAGGUAGCCGUAUCGGAAGGUGCGGCUGGAUCACCUCCUUAAUCUAGAGCAUUCGGAGUACGAGCUGAUC
Molecule: ribosomal RNA, 523 nt
Filed under: uncultured bacterium
Lineage: Bacteria
Description: bacterial SSU rRNA
Rfam family: Bacterial small subunit ribosomal RNA
Source: RNAcentral